Non-coding RNA from Peromyscus maniculatus bairdii (prairie deer mouse), 628 nucleotides. The record is from RefSeq and is a predicted model, not a curated record. Lineage: Eukaryota; Metazoa; Chordata; Mammalia; Rodentia; Cricetidae.
AAUGAGCAGGGGCGCUCUGACCUUUAGCGAGACAGCUAAGGUUAUGCACAUAACAUUUGCUUGUUUACUCUGCAAAAUAAGCAACGAGUUGGAAACUCCGAGCUUCUGCCCGCGCCUCCGCGUGCACUUAAAAACACAACAACACGAACCAGGCUGCCGGACUUCCCAGCUCGGGUGCGCAGCGGCUGUUAGCUGCUUUGCUCGCUUCUAUCCCAAUGCAACUUUAAUAACAGGAGCCAAGACUGCUCAGAAAAAUCACAGCUGUAGCUGGAGGCCAAAAGAAGAAGAAGAAAAUCCACGAGAACGAGAAAGUCUGCCGGCUCAGGAGCUCAGCAGGAAUCCGGGCUUGUACUGCUGCCCUCAGGCCCAGUGGUAUUGGGGUUCCGGGCUUAGCACCCCAGUCCUGGCACAGUGGCACAGCAUGAGGGCGCUGGGGACUGUGGCUUGCAGCUUCCAAGAGCGCCUGGCAGCUCCUAGGCCCCAGGUGCACCCAGUCGCAAAGGGACAACAGGGCCACCAAGAGGGACCCCUGGGCCCGGCUACUCACUUGCUCCCCAACUCUCCCAGUCUGUGAGUCCCUGGAAGUACCUCCUGCUGUCGGAUUCUAAUAAAAGUUUUAUGUGGGUCA